AACGAACGCUGGCGGCAUGCCUAACACAUGCAAGUCGAACGAGACCUUCGGGUCUAGUGGCGCACGGGUGCGUAACGCGUGGGAACCUGCCCUUAGGUUCGGAAUAACUCCCCGAAAGGGGUGCUAAUACCGGAUAAUGUCUUCGGACCAAAGAUUUAUCGCCUUUGGAUGGGCCCGCGUUGGAUUAGCUAGUUGGUAGGGUAAAAGCCUACCAAGGCGACGAUCCAUAGCUGGUCUGAGAGGAAGAUCAGCCACACUGGGACUGAGACACGGCCCAGACUCCUACGGGAGGCAGCAGUGGGGAAUAUUGGACAAUGGGCGAAAGCCUGAUCCAGCAAUGCCGCGUGAGUGAUGAAGGCCUUAGGGUUGUAAAGCUCUUUUACCCGGGAUGAUAAUGACAGUACCGGGAGAAUAAGCUCCGGCUAACUCCGUG
This 433-nucleotide ribosomal RNA is filed under the name uncultured bacterium. RNAcentral describes it as "partial 16S ribosomal RNA". It matches the Rfam family "Bacterial small subunit ribosomal RNA", at positions 29 to 507 of the family's 1533-position model. The record is from RNAcentral.